Molecule: long non-coding RNA, 702 nt
Organism: Cicer arietinum (chickpea)
Lineage: Eukaryota; Viridiplantae; Streptophyta; Magnoliopsida; Fabales; Fabaceae
Source: RefSeq, a predicted model, not a curated record
UCGUCGCUAGCUUAGUACAAGUAAAACCGGUGAAACAGCUACAUUGCCAAAACUUACUCCAAAAUACCAAAUCUCAUGCUAUAUAGUUUUUCAUCAUUAGCUGCUUAGCUUGUACUCCUACUAUUUUUGUGAUAUCAUAAUUAAUCAUGCUGCAUCACGUUUCAAUGUAUGGUCUCAUCUAAUAAAAUAAUAAUAAUAAUAUAAUACAACAUAUUGCUUUCACAAGUAGUUCAUUCAUACGAAUUCCAAUUUCCUUUGCAAAAUACAAUUAUCACUUUAGUUGUUUUCAUUCUGAAGCACUGCAUAUCAAUGGAGACCAAAGUGGGUUCACACCACAAUGGGGAAAACUCAAGAACUGAAAAACACCGAGGAACUGAAGACUGGUAUGGCUGAGUUGAAAGCAUUGUUCUCCAAUAUCGAAACCUCUCUAACAACGCUAGUGUUAUUUUUUUAUUUUGGUUAACAAGCGCAGCAAUUAACUUGCUUGUUGUUAGUAUCUGUUAUUGGGCCUCUUUUGAAUUAUGUAAAGUCAUUAAGACAUAAAUUAGGCCGUAAUAACUUUUUAUGCAUUUUGAAUGUACUGUUGGUUGGUGUCUGAUUAAUUUAUCGUUUUAGGACCCAGUAAGUUACUUACUCUUCAUGGGUAAGACUUUUGUGAUUUGGGAAUUACCUAUCAAGCUUUGGUAUGAUGAUCUUUGUUCA